GAGUUUGAUCCUGGCUCAGAGCGAACGCUGGCGGCAGGCUUAACACAUGCAAGUCGAGCGGGCGUAGCAAUACGUCAGCGGCAGACGGGUGAGUAACGCGUGGGAACGUACCUUUUGGUUCGGAACAACACAGGGAAACUUGUGCUAAUACCGGAUAAGCCCUUACGGGGAAAGAUUUAUCGCCGAAAGAUCGGCCCGCGUCUGAUUAGCUAGUUGGUGAGGUAAUGGCUCACCAAGGCGACGAUCAGUAGCUGGUCUGAGAGGAUGAUCAGCCACAUUGGGACUGAGACACGGCCCAAACUCCUACGGGAGGCAGCAGUGGGGAAUAUUGGACAAUGGGCGCAAGCCUGAUCCAGCCAUGCCGCGUGAGUGAUGAAGGCCCUAGGGUUGUAAAGCUCUUUUGUGCGGGAAGAUAAUGACGGUACCGCAAGAAUAAG
RNAcentral lists this ribosomal RNA (437 nucleotides) under uncultured Alphaproteobacteria bacterium. RNAcentral's name for it is "bacterial SSU rRNA". It matches the Rfam family "Bacterial small subunit ribosomal RNA", at positions 9 to 490 of the family's 1533-position model. Lineage: Bacteria; Pseudomonadati; Pseudomonadota; Alphaproteobacteria. The record is from RNAcentral.